UAAACUCGUAAAACGAGAGAAAAGUAACGGUGAAACUUACUUAAUAAUCGCACAGUCGACCUUACAAGUAACGAAGAACUUCCAAUUAACGUAGAAUGUGAUACCGUAAAAGGAAAAAAAUAAAAGAAUGGAAGGAGAACAAAAAAAAAUAACUUUUGAAAACAAAGAAGAAAGCAUGAUAGAAAUUCUUCAGAUUAUUUUAAAUUAAUCAGCAC
This 215-nucleotide long non-coding RNA is filed under the name Gossypium raimondii (Peruvian cotton). RNAcentral describes it as "long non-coding RNA (GRAI_LNC009215)". The record is from RNAcentral. Lineage: Eukaryota; Viridiplantae; Streptophyta; Magnoliopsida; Malvales; Malvaceae.